Molecule: ribosomal RNA, 1610 nt
Filed under: Escherichia coli
Lineage: Bacteria; Pseudomonadati; Pseudomonadota; Gammaproteobacteria; Enterobacterales; Enterobacteriaceae
Description: partial 23S ribosomal RNA
Rfam family: Bacterial large subunit ribosomal RNA
Source: RNAcentral
GGGUUCCUGUCCAACGUUAAUCGGGGCAGGGUGAGUCGACCCCUAAGGCGAGGCCGAAAGGCGUAGUCGAUGGGAAACAGGUUAAUAUUCCUGUACUUGGUGUUACUGCGAAGGGGGGACGGAGAAGGCUAUGUUGGCCGGGCGACGGUUGUCCCGGUUUAAGCGUGUAGGCUGGUUUUCCAGGCAAAUCCGGAAAACCAAGGCUGAGGCGUGAUGACGAGGCACUACGGUGCUGAAGUGACAAAUGCCCUGCUUCCAGGAAAAGCCUCUAAGCAUCAGGUAACAUCAAAUCGUACCCCAAACCGACACAGGUGGUCAGGUAGAGAAUACCAAGGCGCUUGAGAGAACUCGGGUGAAGGAACUAGGCAAAAUGGUGCCGUAACUUCGGGAGAAGGCACGCUGAUAUGUAGGUGAAGCGACUUGCUCGUGGAGCUGAAAUCAGUCGAAGAUACCAGCUGGCUGCAACUGUUUAUUAAAAACACAGCACUGUGCAAACACGAAAGUGGACGUAUACGGUGUGACGCCUGCCCGGUGCCGGAAGGUUAAUUGAUGGGGUUAGCGGUAACGCGAAGCUCUUGAUCGAAGCCCCGGUAAACGGCGGCCGUAACUAUAACGGUCCUAAGGUAGCGAAAUUCCUUGUCGGGUAAGUUCCGACCUGCACGAAUGGCGUAAUGAUGGCCAGGCUGUCUCCACCCGAGACUCAGUGAAAUUGAACUCGCUGUGAAGAUGCAGUGUACCCGCGGCAAGACGGAAAGACCCCGUGAACCUUUACUAUAGCUUGACACUGAACAUUGAGCCUUGAUGUGUAGGAUAGGUGGGAGGCUUUGAAGUGUGGACGCCAGUCUGCAUGGAGCCGACCUUGAAAUACCACCCUUUAAUGUUUGAUGUUCUAACGUUGGCCCCUAAUCGGGGUUGCGGACAGUGUCUGGUGGGUAGUUUGACUGGGGCGGUCUCCUCCUAAAGAGUAACGGAGGAGCACGAAGGUUGGCUAAUCCUGGUCGGACAUCAGGAGGUUAGUGCAAUGGCAUAAGCCAGCUUGACUGCGAGCGUGACGGCGCGAGCAGGUGCGAAAGCAGGUCAUAGUGAUCCGGUGGUUCUGAAUGGAAGGGCCAUCGCUCAACGGAUAAAAGGUACUCCGGGGAUAACAGGCUGAUACCGCCCAAGAGUUCAUAUCGACGGCGGUGUUUGGCACCUCGAUGUCGGCUCAUCACAUCCUGGGGCUGAAGUAGGUCCCAAGGGUAUGGCUGUUCGCCAUUUAAAGUGGUACGCGAGCUGGGUUUAGAACGUCGUGAGACAGUUCGGUCCCUAUCUGCCGUGGGCGCUGGAGAACUGAGGGGGGCUGCUCCUAGUACGAGAGGACCGGAGUGGACGCAUCACUGGUGUUCGGGUUGUCAUGCCAAUGGCACUGCCCGGUAGCUAAAUGCGGAAGAGAUAAGUGCUGAAAGCAUCUAAGCACGAAACUUGCCCCGAGAUGAGUUCUCCCUGAGACUUAGAGUCUCCUGAAGGAACGUUGAAGACGACGACGUUGAUAGGCCGGGUGUGUAAGCGCAGCGAUGCGUUGAGCUAACCGGUACUAAUGAACCGUGAGGCUUAACCUUACAACGCCGAAG